Molecule: ribosomal RNA, 253 nt
Filed under: uncultured bacterium
Lineage: Bacteria
Description: partial 16S ribosomal RNA
Rfam family: Bacterial small subunit ribosomal RNA
Source: RNAcentral
UACGUAGGGGGCAAGCGUUGUCCGGAUUUAUUGGGCGUAAAGAGCGUGUAGGCGGCCAGACAAGUCUGCUGUGAAAACUCGAGGCUCAACCUCGAGCUGUCGGUGGAAACUGUCUGGCUAGAGUCCGGAAGAGGAGAGUGGAAUUCCUGGUGUAGCGGUGAAAUGCGCAGAUAUCAGGAAGAACACCGAUGGCGAAGGCAGGUCUCUGGGCCGAUACUGACGCUGAGGAGCGAAAGCGUGGGGAGCGAACAGG